This 495-nucleotide ribosomal RNA is filed under the name uncultured bacterium. RNAcentral describes it as "partial 16S ribosomal RNA". It matches the Rfam family "Bacterial small subunit ribosomal RNA", at positions 28 to 507 of the family's 1533-position model. The record is from RNAcentral.
GAUGAACGCUGGCGGCGUGCCUAAUACAUGCAAGUAGAACGCUGAAGGCGGAGCUUGCUCUUCUGGAUGAGUUGCGAACGGGUGAGUAACGCGUAGGUAACCUGCCUGGUAGCGGGGGAUAACUAUUGGAAACGAUAGCUAAUACCGCAUGACAACAGUUAUUGCAUGAUGACUGUUUAAAAGGGGCAACUGCUCCACUACCAGAUGGACCUGCGUUGUAUUAGCUAGUUGGUGAGGUAACGGCUCACCAAGGCGACGAUGCAUAGCCGACCUGAGAGGGGGAGCGGCCACACUGGGAAUGAGACAAGGCCCAGACUCCUACGGGAGGCAGCAGUAGGGAAUCUUCGGCAAUGGACGGAAGUCUGACCGAGCAACGCCGCGUGAGUGAAGAAGGGUGUCGGAUCGUAAAGCUCUGUUGUAAGAGAAGAACGAGUGUGAGAGUGGAAAGUUCACACUGUGACGGUAUCUUACCAGAAAGGGACGGCUAACUACGUG